UGCCCACAGGACUGUUGGGGAACCGAGCUCUGCUCUGCCCCCAUCUCUGGCACCUAUCCCUUCUGAUUCCCCCUUGUAACUCUCCUGUCCCACUCUGGUACGGAUAUUCAUUUUCUUCCGAACAACCCCUUUCUUCCUUUAAGGGAAAAAGACUUCAGAAUGAAGGCCAACACAGCCUCAGAGCAGAACCCCCGUGCCUACACUUGGGUACCAUCAAAGCAGUCAAUGUCCUAAGGGCUUUCUCUUUAGAAACCGGACAGACCCUGUGAUCCCUGUGGGAGUUUUCAUCACUGCCCACAGCUAGGCUUCCUACAGGAAAGGGCCUGAGACCGGGAGAGCCUGGGAAGAUGUGUCUCUCCCAGCACUGAUUCCUGGGAUGAAGGUUAGGAAUGGGCAGACCUGGGGAAGAGGCAGGGGACAGAGAGAAUCGCCUGCUCUAACUCUCAAAAGCACUUAACACUGAAGUAAAACAUCACUCGGGUAGCAGUUGGCUGCCUUUACUGUUGGACCCUGAAAGCACCAUCACGUCAGCUACCUGGAGGCCACUUUGUGGGCAAGACCAACAGGACAACAAAAAUAUCAGCCCUGGAAGAUGACAUGACAAUUGCUAAGGAAAAGUUUUGAAUUUGUAUCUCUGCAGAGUAUUUCUCUCAGUUUUCUCAAGCCCCAAUAUACAAGUAAGAAUAAAUCAGCACAGCACCGAGGAUAUUAGUGAUAUAGGUGGGACGUGGUCUCUCAUCUGGUCAAUCGGGAGGAUUCCACUGCAGAUCAUCUCGGCUUUGGUAGAGACGAAGGACGGCAUCACCAGGCCUGGGCAGUCACAGAAGCAGAGGCCAGGUUCCACAUAGAGAGUCUGAAAGACAGGAAGAGGUGCAUGCUGGGCAUAUGGCACAGGAAGGGAAAGAAGAGCAGCACACAAGAGGCAAAGAACUUCAGGAAAUACCCAGAGCGGGAACCUGACUGAGAAGGAAAUACGAGGCCGGUGCUGCAGAAGUACCUGGAAGUGCUUGGUGUGACCAGGUGUGGCAGACACAGAUACUUUCUUGUUGCCCAUGAUGGUGUUGAUUGUUGAACUCUUACCAACAUUCGGGUAGCCCACCUAGAAGAGAGUCAAAGGAAUGUUUAUAAUGUAAGUUGGCAAGGAUCACAGGAUGCCAAAAGCCGACCUCAUCUAAAAAGCUUAUCUAAAGGGUUUUCCUUCCUUGAGCCUCAGAAUCCACAGUCCAACUUUCAUUCCAGUUCUGGCCACAGGCCUCCUCAUCGGGGUUGCUGCCCUCUUCCGAACACGUCUGCCAAUCUUCCUCCUCCUCACGACAGUCCUCAUACACACUGUCCUCUUCAUCACUGCUGGCAACUUCACUGAGUGAGACAGAAGCCCUGCCUUGGAGAUGUUCAGUCUCAUCAUGUGGAAUUUCAGCCUCAUCGCAACUGGAGUUUUCAGACUCAGCUGUGAUGGCUUCUCCAGUGUCUCCGUUUACUUCGUCCUGAUGAAAUAACAGAAAUCACAAAAGUCCAGGAGUAUAUUUACAACUGCACUCUUCACUCUGGUGGAAACACUCAGAGCUGGUUAUCUGAGACGAACAGAGGACAAGAAAAGCUAUGAAGGAGAACGAAAAAGGUGAACAGAAGGAGGAGAUCACAUAAGCCCAAGGACACAACCAAACUUUCAACAGUGAUGCCCUCUGGAGUGGUGGACCUUCAUUAUAAACAUUUUUGUAUUAUUUGAACUUUGCACAAAUAACAUGUAUUUUCUAACAGAUAACUCUUCUAUCCAUUAAAAGAAAGCAAGGGUUUCAAAAAGCCUGUGCCAAGCUGAAUUCCUUGGCAUUUUAAAGACAGUGGUUUGCAUAGUUAAGGAAACUGCUAUUCUUUUACAAUUGCCUUUAAUAAAUCACAGCACCGUGGAGCACAGGUCCCUGUGUGUGAAAAGUGAGAGCAACAAAACUCAGCUCCGUGUGUGGAAUCUGUUCACCAACCAUUUCCUUCAGGAAGAGAAAGGUAAAAAUCAUGGUGUGUCAAUCCUUCUGAAUUCGUACUGAUAACAAAGUAGAAAUUAGGCAAUUUACAGUAUCACCAAUUCGUAUCAACAAGGGUUAACUGGUUUGGAUUUAUAAGUGAUAAAACCUUGGAUCAUUUCCAAAUAAUCUAAUGUUAGAGUGAGUAGCCACCACAGAAAAGGACAGGAGGAACUCAGCUGAAUAGGAAUCCUACAUUUUAGGAAAGAGAUAUUUUUUUUAAAAUGUCAGGGAAGAGAGAGAGAAUUUCAUUAUCAUGCUUGGCAACUCGAAAACAAACAUGGAAUUGGAAGCAAUUUCUAUGAUAAAUGAGCAACAAAUGUAAAGAAGUCACUGUGUGCUCUUCUGAAUCAUUUAAAAAUACGGAAGAGGCAGAACCCAGGAAUGUGAACUGAAAGGGGAUGUGUAUUAGGAGAACGAAGGCUGGACACAGUUUAGCUUCAGGACAAAAGCCAAAGGCAACAAAAGGACUUGUAGUAGUUUUGUCAAAAAUAGAAAGAACAGAAAAGUCAAUCUUUGGGAAACACGGUGCAAUUCAACAGAUGGCCAAGAGAAAACUAAGGUACUCAACUCAAAAAAGUGUCCUAUUUUUUAAAAUAAGAAAUGUCACACAAUUGUAGAGAAGAGCCAAACUUCAGAUAGGUGAGAAACAGUGACUGUCAAACGUCUUUUAACAAGUUCAUGUUUGAUACUCAAGUGACAGAUGAGAUGACAGGUGUGACAUCACAAUGGUAGCUGGUAUGAUUUAGGAAAUCAUGUGUAACAGAGAUUUCAGAAGACUUGGGAGGAAUAAAUGGGGUUCAACUUUGAAAAAGGAAGAAAGAAUAUCUUCCGUAAACCACACAGUUAACCCAGAAUCUGACAGAGAAACAAUUCCACAAGUUAGCUGGUGAGCCUGAAAAAGAAGACAGUCAGCAACAUGAGGCAACAAGGGUUCCCUGAGAACACAUCAUGCAAACAAGUCCCAUUUCCCGCUGGAAUCUACUGCUUGGUUGACAGUUCAGGGAAUACCACAGAUGUGGAAACGAAUCCUUGUUCCAUUUCUGAUUGACUGCGCUACCAAGCUGGUGCCUCAGGGCUGAGCGACAGAGUGAUAAAUAUUCAAAAACUUCAGCAAGACACUGACUUCCAGGAGAGACGUGAAACAAUGGUGAAAAGGACAAAUGAUGAAGCCAGACUGGCUGAGGAUACAAGCCCUUAUACCUGCUGCUGAGAAAACUAAAUGGAGAAAACAAAGCAAGUGCUCAGAAUAGCGGUGCCUGCAGAGAACAAGUUUUCUGUGGGUUAGCUUUAUU
Vicugna pacos (alpaca) is the source of this 3310-nucleotide non-coding RNA. The record is from RefSeq and is a predicted model, not a curated record. NCBI's taxonomy places the organism in Eukaryota, Metazoa, Chordata, Mammalia, Artiodactyla, Camelidae.